UACGUAGGGGGCAAGCGUUGUCCGGAAUUAUUGGGCGUAAAGAGCGCGUAGGCGGUCCGAUAAGUCGGCUGUGAAAGUCCAGGGCUCAACCCUUGGAAGCCGGCCGAUACUGUCGGACUAGAGUCCGGAAGAGGCGAGUGGAAUUCCCGGUGUAGCGGUGAAAUGCGCAGAUAUCAGGAGGAACACCGGUGGCGAAGGCGGUUCUCUGGGCAUGUCCUGACGCUGAGGAGCGAAAGUGUGGGGAGCGAACAGG
This 253-nucleotide ribosomal RNA is filed under the name uncultured bacterium. RNAcentral's name for it is "partial 16S ribosomal RNA". It matches the Rfam family "Bacterial small subunit ribosomal RNA", at positions 524 to 776 of the family's 1533-position model. The record is from RNAcentral.